UACGAACUGUGCAAACGUUAUUCGGAAUCACUGGGCUUAAAGGGUGCGUAGGCGGCUUGUUAAGUAGGGUGUGAAAUCCCAAGGCUCAACCUUGGAAUUGCGCCCUAAACUGGCGAGCUGGAGUGAGAUAGGGGUGUGUGGAACUUCCAGUGGAGCGGUGAAAUGUGUUGAUAUUGGAAGGAACGCCAGUGGCGAAAGCGACACACUGGGUCUCAACUGACGCUGAGGCACGAAAGCCAGGGGAGCAAAC
Molecule: ribosomal RNA, 250 nt
Filed under: uncultured bacterium
Lineage: Bacteria
Description: partial 16S ribosomal RNA
Rfam family: Bacterial small subunit ribosomal RNA
Source: RNAcentral